Molecule: non-coding RNA, 96 nt
Organism: Lenzites betulinus
Lineage: Eukaryota; Fungi; Basidiomycota; Agaricomycetes; Polyporales; Polyporaceae
Source: the annotation of a GenBank genome assembly
GCCUGCCUAGCUCAAUCGGAUAGAGCGUGAGACUUUUAAGAACCAGAGUAUCUGGGCGGAAUCUCAAGGCUGCGGGUUCGACCCCCGCGGUGGGCU